RNAcentral lists this ribosomal RNA (509 nucleotides) under uncultured eukaryote. RNAcentral describes it as "eukaryotic LSU rRNA". It matches the Rfam family "Eukaryotic large subunit ribosomal RNA", at positions 1042 to 1543 of the family's 3401-position model. The record is from RNAcentral.
CUACCUUAACCUAUUCUCAAACUUUAAAUAGGUAAGAAAUGAAUGUUGCUUUAGUGAACAUUCAUAUAGAAUGGUGAGUUGCAAGUGGGCCGUUUUUGGUAAGCAGAACUGGCGAUUUGGGAUGAACCAAACGCAGAGUUAAAGUGCCAAAAUGUACGCUAAUGUAGAUCCCAUAAAAGGUGUUGAUUCAUUUAGACAGCAGGACGGUGGUCAUGGAAGUCGAAAUCCGCUAAGAAGUGUGUAACAACUUACCUGCCGAAUGAAUUAGCCCUGAAAAUUGAUGGCGCUCAAGCGUACUACUUAUACUCUGCCGUCAAGACACACUCUAAAAAAUGAAGUCUUGACGAGUAGGUGUGCGUGGAGGUUGCAGAGAAGCUUACCCCGUGAGGGGGAGUGUAGCAGCCUUUAGUGCAGAUCUUGGUGGUAGUAGCAAAUAUUCAAGUGAGAACCUUGAAGGCCGAAGUGGAGAAAGGUUCGCGAGAACAGCAUUUGAUCGCGAGUCAGUCGAU